This 253-nucleotide ribosomal RNA is filed under the name uncultured bacterium. RNAcentral's name for it is "partial 16S ribosomal RNA". It matches the Rfam family "Bacterial small subunit ribosomal RNA", at positions 524 to 776 of the family's 1533-position model. The record is from RNAcentral.
UACGGGGGGGGCAAGCGUUGUUCGGAAUUACUGGGCGUAAAGGGCGCGUAGGCGGCCUGCUAAGUCGGACGUGAAAUCCCCCGGCUCAACCGGGGAACUGCGUCCGAUACUGGUGGGCUCGAAUCCGGGAGAGGGAUGUGGAAUUCCAGGUGUAGCGGUGAAAUGCGUAGAUAUCUGGAGGAACACCGGUGGCGAAGGCGGCAUCCUGGACCGGCAUUGACGCUGAGGCGCGAAAGCCAGGGGAGCGAACGGG